UAAUUGCGAUGGGGGGACGGAGCAGGCUAAACAAGCAUGGCGUUGGUAGUCCAUGUGAAAGUGAGUAGGUUGGCGACUUAGGUAAAUCCGGGUUGCUAUUAAGACUGAGACACGAGACGAGUCACUAAGGUGAUGAAGUUGUUGAUGCCAUACUUCCAGGAAAAGCCUCUAAGCUUCAGAUUAUAUGGAAUCGUACCCCAAACCGACACAGGUGGUCAGGUAGAGAAUACUAAGGCGCUUGAGAGAACUCGGG
This 253-nucleotide ribosomal RNA is filed under the name Pseudoalteromonas sp. SR43-5. RNAcentral's name for it is "partial 23S ribosomal RNA". It matches the Rfam family "Bacterial large subunit ribosomal RNA", at positions 1451 to 1704 of the family's 2925-position model. The record is from RNAcentral. Lineage: Bacteria; Pseudomonadati; Pseudomonadota; Gammaproteobacteria; Alteromonadales; Pseudoalteromonadaceae.